GUGAAUCAUCAAAUUUUUGAACGCAAAUUGCACUCUCUUCGGAGAGUAUGCCUGUUUGAGGGUCAGUAUUAAUAAAAAUCGGUGUGUUGCUUCUUUGUGACGCUCCGGGGUUUGGGUCAUCUUAAUAUCCUUUAGGUUUUAAGGGGUUUAAAUUUGAUUUUUUUUGCGCAUUUUAGUUGACAUUAAUUUUUUUUUUUAAUCCGUCUGUCUUAAUG
This 215-nucleotide unclassified non-coding RNA is filed under the name Rhizophagus sp. (in: glomeromycetes). RNAcentral's name for it is "partial contains 5.8S ribosomal RNA and internal transcribed spacer 2". The stretch from base 1 to 65 matches the Rfam family "5.8S ribosomal RNA", at positions 84 to 154 of the family's 154-position model. Lineage: Eukaryota; Fungi; Glomeromycota; Glomeromycetes; Glomerales; Glomeraceae. The record is from RNAcentral.